UAUGGCUCUGCCUGGGGUUCUGUCUGUGGAUAUGAUUGUGGUUCUGGAUAUGGUUGUGGAUAUGGCUCUGGCUAUGGUUAUGGAUAUGGCUAUGGCUGUGGCUAUGGCUAUGGAUAUGGCUCUGGCUGUGGCUAUGGCUAUGGAUAUGGCUCUGGCUCUGGCUAUGGCUAUGGCUCUGGCUAUGGCUAUGGCUAUGGCUCUGGCUCUGGCUCUGGAUAUGGCUCUGGCUAUCAAUACGGCUCUGGAUAUGGAUCUGGCUGUGGCUAUGGCUAUGGAUAUGGCUCUGGCUCUGGCUAUGGCUGUGGAUAUGGCUCUGGCUAUGGCUGUGGAUAUGGCUCUGGCUCUGGCUAUGGCUGUGGAUAUGGCUCUGGCUGUCAAUACGGCUCUGGAUAUGGAUCUGACUGUGGCUAUGGUUAUGGAUAUGGCUCUGGCUCUGGCUAUGGCUGUGGAUAUGGCUCUGGCUCUGGCUAUGGCUGUGGAUAUGGAACUGGCUGUGGCUAUGGUUGUGGAUAUGGCUCUGGCUCUGGCUAUGGUUGUGGAUAUGGCUCUGGCUCUGGCUAUGGCUGUGGAUAUGGAACUGGCUGUGGCUAUGGUUGUGGAUAUGGCUCUGGCUGUAGAUAUGGCUCCGGCUGUCAAUAUGGCUCUGGAUAUGGAACUGGCUGUGGCUAUGGCUGUGGAUAUGGCUCUGCCUCUGGCUAUGGCUGUGGAUAUGGCUCUGGAUAUGGAUUCGGCUCUCCCUACGGCUGUAAAUACAGCUCUGGCUGCUGGGGCUGUCGACCAUUUUGCUACAGAAGAUGCUAUUCCUCUUGCUGCUAA
Molecule: long non-coding RNA, 816 nt
Filed under: Homo sapiens (human)
Lineage: Eukaryota; Metazoa; Chordata; Mammalia; Primates; Hominidae
Description: non-protein coding lnc-KRTAP21-2-1:1
Source: RNAcentral